This 460-nucleotide ribosomal RNA is filed under the name uncultured bacterium. RNAcentral's name for it is "partial 16S ribosomal RNA". It matches the Rfam family "Bacterial small subunit ribosomal RNA", at positions 338 to 795 of the family's 1533-position model. The record is from RNAcentral.
CCUACGGGUGGCAGCAGUGAGGAAUAUUGGUCAAUGGCCGAGAGGCUGAACCAGCCAAGUCGCGUGAGGGAAGACGGCCCUACGGGUUGUAAACCUCUUUUGUCGGGGAGCAAAGCGAGUCACGUGUGACUCAUUGAGAGUACCAGAAGAAAAAGCCUCCGCUAACUCCGUGCCAGCAGCCGCGGUAAUACGGAGGAUGUGAGCGUUAUCCGGAUUUAUUGGGUUUAAAGGGUGCGUAGGCGGCCUGUUAAGUCAGCGGUGAAAGUCUGUGGCUCAACCAUAGAAUUGCCGUUGAAACGGGGAGGCUUGAGUAUGUUAGGGGCAGGCGGAAUGCGUGGUGUAGCGGUGAAAUGCGUAGAUAUCACGCAGAACCCCGAGGGCGAAGGCAGCCUGCCAAGCCAUGACUGACGCUGAUGCACGAAAGCGUGGGGGUCAAACAGGAUUAGAUACCCCUGUAGUC